RNAcentral lists this ribosomal RNA (185 nucleotides) under uncultured bacterium. Its description in RNAcentral is "partial 16S ribosomal RNA". It matches the Rfam family "Bacterial small subunit ribosomal RNA", at positions 341 to 524 of the family's 1533-position model. The record is from RNAcentral.
ACGGGAGGCAGCAGUGGGGAAUAUUGCGCAAUGGGCGAAAGCCUGACGCAGCAACGCCGCGUGGGUGAUGGAGGCCUUCGGGUUGUAAAGCCCUGUCGGGUGGAACGAACAGGUCCUGAGGAGGGGACUCUGACGGUACCAUCGGAGGAAGCACCGGCUAACUUCGUGCCAGCAGCCGCGGUAAU